UGGCGGACGGGUGAGUAAUGUCUGGGAAAUGCCUGAUGGAGGGGGAUAACUACUGGAAACGGUAGCUAAUACCGCAUAACGUCGCAAGACCAAAGAGGGGGACCUUCGGGCCUCUUGCCAUCGGAUGUGCCCAGAUGGGAUUAGCUAGUAGGUGGGGUAACGGCUCACCUAGGCGACGAUCCCUAGCUGGUCUGAGAGGAUGACCAGCCACACUGGAACUGAGACACGGUCCAG
This 234-nucleotide ribosomal RNA is filed under the name uncultured bacterium. RNAcentral's name for it is "partial 16S ribosomal RNA". It matches the Rfam family "Bacterial small subunit ribosomal RNA", at positions 96 to 334 of the family's 1533-position model. The record is from RNAcentral.